GAUGAACGCUAGCGGCAGGCUUAAUACAUGCAAGUCGAGGGGCAGCACGGUUAGCAAUAACUGGUGGCGACCGGCGCACGGGUGCGUAACACGUAUACAAUCUACCUUAAACAGGGGGAUAGCCUUUUCGAAAAGAGAGAUUAAUACCCCGUAAUAAAUUGAACGGCAUCGUUUGAUUUUGAAAGCUCCGGCGGUUUGAGAUGAGUAUGCGUCUGAUUAGCUAGUUGGUGAGGUAACGGCUCACCAAGGCGACGAUCAGUAGGGGAUCUGAGAGGACUAACCCCCACACUGGUACUGAGACAGGACCAGACUCCUACGGGAGGCAGCAG
Molecule: ribosomal RNA, 329 nt
Filed under: uncultured bacterium
Lineage: Bacteria
Description: bacterial SSU rRNA
Rfam family: Bacterial small subunit ribosomal RNA
Source: RNAcentral